RNAcentral lists this ribosomal RNA (1735 nucleotides) under Taenia multiceps. RNAcentral describes it as "SSU rRNA". The stretch from base 227 to 1735 matches the Rfam family "Eukaryotic small subunit ribosomal RNA". Lineage: Eukaryota; Metazoa; Platyhelminthes; Cestoda; Cyclophyllidea; Taeniidae. The record is from RNAcentral.
UGGCUGGUCGUUGUCGCCGCAACUGCUGGCUGGCUGGCUGCUGCUGGCUGGCUGACUGGCUAGGCGGUGGGUUGGCGGGACGGCUGGGUGGUUUGCUUGCUGGCUGGGCUGGCUGGUGCGAUGCUGCACUACUACUGCUUGCGUGCAGUGAGCGUGUGUUGGCAGGGAUUGUGUUGCCGUGGCCAUGAAGAAGCACUGUCGUGUCAAGCUGGCAAGGCGAUGGUGUCACCUUUGAGCCAUGUCUGUGGUGUAACAGCUACAGGUGUGGACGGGUGUUGGGCAGCGCUCUGCACACGUUGUGGAGUCUGUCGGCUCGUCUGCAUGCCUUUGGAUGCCCUUAAAAAGGUGUCUGCGGGCGGAUGGCACGUUUACUUUGAACAAAUUUGAGUGCUCAAAUCAGGCCGAUGUUGCCUGAAAAGUUUUGCAUGGAAUAAUGGAAUAGGACUUCGGUUCUAUUUCGUUGGUUUUCGGAUCCGAAGUAAUGAUCAAAAGAGACAGGCGGGGACGUUUGUAUGGCUGCGCUAGAGGUGAAAUUCAUGGACCGUAGCCAGACAGACUAAAGCGAAAGCAUUCGUCAAGCAUGUUUUCAUUGGCCAUGAGCGAAAGUCAGAGGCUCGAAGACGAUCAGAUACCGUCCUAGUUCUGACCAUAAACGAUGCCAACUGACGAUCCGUGGUGGUAGUAGUGUUACCUUCCCCACGGGCAGUCCCCGGGAAACCUUUAAGUGUUUGGGUUCCGGGGGAAGUAUGGUUGCAAAGCUGAAACUUAAAGGAAUUGACGGAAGGGCACCACCAGGAGUGGAGCCUGCGGCUUAAUUUGACUCAACACGGGAAAACUCACCCGGGCCGGACACUGUGAGGAUUGACAGAUUGAGAGCUCUUUCUUGAUUUGGUGGUUGGUGGUGCAUGGCCGUUCUUAGUUGGUGGAGCGAUUUGUCUGGUUAAUUCCGAUAACGAACGAGACUCCAACCUGCUAAUUAGUGCGUUUGUCCACUGCGCCUGCGUAGGUGACGCUGGAUGACACCACCUGUCACGAGGACGUGGCAGCGGCUCUUCUCUCCCUUCUCCGCUCGAAUGCCCUCCAGCGCCUCCUCCUCCUCCUCCUCCUCUCCUCCCCCUUCUUCAGCGCCUCAUCUGGCCGGCUGGCUGGCUGGCCGGGUGAGGCGGUGGUGGCGGUGGCGGUGGUGAGGGCGAUGGGUGGGGAUGGUGCGGGUGGGCGAGUGGAUUGUGGUGGAGGCGUGGGGUUGGGUGCGGCGCUCGUGGCCGGUUAGUCUGGCGUUGGCCUCCGGGUGUGGCGCGAAUGCCUACUUCUUAGAGGGACAAGCGGGAGAAGCCGCACGAAAUAGAGCAAUAACAGGUCUGUGAUGCCCUUAGAUGUCCGGGGCCGCACGCGCGCUACAAUGACGGUGUCAGCGAGUCAGGCCUUCUGGCCCGAAAGGGUUGGGCAAACUGGUCAAUCACCGUCGUGACAGGGAUCGGGGCUUGGAAUUGUUCCCCGUGAACGAGGAAUUCCUAGUAAGUGCAAGUCAUAAGCUUGCGCUGAUUACGUCCCUGCCCUUUGUACACACCGCCCGUCGCUACUACCGAUUGAAUGGUUUAGUAAGGUCCUCGGAUUGGCGUCAUUGCGACGGUGGCCGAGAGGUCACAGCCCGAGGGGCGCUGAGAAGACGACCGAACUUGAUCAUUUAGAGGAAGUAAAAGUCGUAACAAGGUUUCCGUAGGUGAACCUGCGGAAG